RNAcentral lists this ribosomal RNA (425 nucleotides) under uncultured bacterium. RNAcentral's name for it is "bacterial SSU rRNA". It matches the Rfam family "Bacterial small subunit ribosomal RNA", at positions 354 to 776 of the family's 1533-position model. The record is from RNAcentral.
GUGAGGAAUAUUGGUCAAUGGACGAGAGUCUGAACCAGCCAAGUAGCGUGAAGGAUGACUGCCCUAUGGGUUGUAAACUUCUUUUAUACGGGAAUAAAGUUUGCCACGUGUGGCAUUUUGUAUGUACCGUAUGAAUAAGGAUCGGCUAACUCCGUGCCAGCAGCCGCGGUAAUACGGAGGAUCCGAGCGUUAUCCGGAUUUAUUGGGUUUAAAGGGAGCGUAGGCGGAAGCUUAAGUCAGUUGUGAAAGUUUGCGGCUUAACCGUAAAAUUGCAGUUGAUACUGGGUUUCUUGAGUGCAGCAGAGGUAGGCGGAAUUCGUGGUGUAGCGGUGAAAUGCUUAGAUAUCACGAAGAACUCCGAUAGCGAAGGCAGCCUGCUGGAGUAUGAUUGACGCUGAGGCUCGAAAGUGCGGGAAUCAAACAGG